GGAGGAUGCGAGCGUUAUCCGGAUUUAUUGGGUUUAAAGGGUGCGUAGGCGGCACGCCAAGUCAGCGGUGAAAUNUCCGGGCUCAACCCGGAGUGUGCCGUUGAAACUGGCGAGCUAGAGUACACAAGAGGCAGGCGGAAUGCGUGGUGUAGCGGUGAAAUGCAUAGAUAUCACGCAGAACCCCGAUUGCGAAGGCAGCCUGCUAGGGUGAAACAGACGCUGAGGCACGAAAGCGUGGGUAUCGAACAGGAUUAGAUACCCUGGUAGUCCACGCAGUAAACGAUGAAUACUAACUGUUUGCGAUACAAUGUAAGCGGUACAGCGAAAGCGUUAAGUAUUCCACCUGGGGAGUACGCCGGCAACGGUGAAACUCAAAGG
RNAcentral lists this ribosomal RNA (378 nucleotides) under uncultured bacterium. Its description in RNAcentral is "bacterial SSU rRNA". It matches the Rfam family "Bacterial small subunit ribosomal RNA", at positions 527 to 907 of the family's 1533-position model. The record is from RNAcentral.